AGCGUGGAGCUGAAGCAGGGAAGGCCACGCUCAUGUGCCUGGCCAACAAGGGCUUCCCCUCAGACUGGAGUCUGGCCUGGAAGGUGGACGGCAGCAGCAGCAGCAGCAGCAGCAGCUGGGAGGAGAGCAGCAGCCCCGGGGUGCUGGAGAAGGACGGCCGCUACAGCUGGAGCAGCACCCUGAGGCUCCCUGCAGACCAGUGGAAGAAGGUGGGCUCUGUGACCUGUGAGGCCACCCAGGGCUCCCAGACUCUGGUCUCAGAGACACUGACGAGAGACCAGUGUUCCCUGUUCUGACCUGACUCACUUGGACCCUGCUACUGGUUUUACUCUGCAACUGCUCUCUCUCUGAAACACUCUCUCCCUCUCCCUCUCCCUCUCUCUGUCCCUCUCCCUCUCUCUCUCUUUCUCUCAUUAUACAUCUCUACAUUAAUGUGCUCUUUCUUGUUGUAUUGAUGAUGGUUUUAAUAGUUCUAGAAAAUAAAUAUUUCUUCAAAUA
Molecule: non-coding RNA, 498 nt
Organism: Xiphias gladius (swordfish)
Lineage: Eukaryota; Metazoa; Chordata; Actinopteri; Istiophoriformes; Xiphiidae
Source: the annotation of a RefSeq genome assembly